GACGAACGCUGGCGGCGUGCCUAAUACAUGCAAGUAGAACGCUGAAGAGAGGAGCUUACUCUUCUUGGAUGAGUUGCGAACGGGUGAGUAACGCGUAGGUAACCUGCCUUGUAGCGGGGGAUAACUAUUGGAAACGAUAGCUAAUACCGCAUAACAAUGGAUGACACAUGUCAUUUAUUUGAAAGGGGCAAUUGCUCCACCACAAGAUGGACCUGCGUUGUAUUAGCUAGUAGGUGAGGUAAUGGCUCACCUAGGCGACGAUACAUAGCCGACCUGAGAGGGUGAUCGGCCACACUGGGACUGAGACACGGCCCAGACUCCUACGGGAGGCAGCAGUAGGGAAUCUUCGGCAAUGGGGGCAACCCUGACCGAGCAACGCCGCGUGAGUGAAGAAGGUUUUCGGAUCGUAAAGCUCUGUUGUAAGUCAAGAACGGGUGUGAGAGUGGAAAGUUCACACUGUGACGGUAGCUUACCAGAAAGGGACGGCUAACUACGUG
Molecule: ribosomal RNA, 497 nt
Filed under: uncultured bacterium
Lineage: Bacteria
Description: partial 16S ribosomal RNA
Rfam family: Bacterial small subunit ribosomal RNA
Source: RNAcentral